AUUAUUGUCUUGUCAAAACAAUACACUAUAGAGGUUGUAAAUGUUUUUUUUUUAUUACAGUGAGGAGGACGUAAUUCAAUAUGCAGCAGCACAGAUAAAUGCCACAAAAACAUUUGAAUUAUGCGUGUCACGAGACAACAUGGUUGAGAGAGGUCUAAAGAUGUUGAAACGGCAAAAAAUAGGAAGCCCUGUCAAUCCCUUGAAAAUUAGCUUCCUGGGAGAACACGGAGUUGACACAGGGGCACUGAGGAAAGAGUUUCUUACCACAAUUGUUGCCGGCUUUGAAAAACGUCUCUUUGAAGGUGAUUCAAAGAAUGGAAAAAUGCCUAAGUACUCCCUGAAUGAUCUCGAUAAUGAGCUGUUCAAAGUUGCAGGUGAAAUAUUUGCUGUGAGCAUUGCCCAAGGAGGACCAGCCCCAUGGUUUAUGCAAGAAUGGUGUUAUGAAUACCUUGCAACUGGUAACAUCAGACGGGAUGGAGUACAUGACACAGAGAUAUCACCACUAAUU
Molecule: non-coding RNA, 508 nt
Organism: Danio rerio (zebrafish)
Lineage: Eukaryota; Metazoa; Chordata; Actinopteri; Cypriniformes; Danionidae
Source: RefSeq, a predicted model, not a curated record